Molecule: long non-coding RNA, 917 nt
Filed under: Homo sapiens (human)
Lineage: Eukaryota; Metazoa; Chordata; Mammalia; Primates; Hominidae
Description: HSALNT0042223
Source: RNAcentral
GGAAACUGUUGAUUUUCAUAAUUUUCUUUACUUUAAUCUUAAAAAUAAUCCUAAAGUAAUUGGUCCAUUCAAGUUGGUCAGUUCAAGUUCAAGCUAAAAUUAUUGGUUUGUGUAGAAAUACUCUAAUUUAGCCAAUGUAACUGUUUUUUAUUUAUGUGAUUUUUUUUGAAUCAUGUAAACAUGGCUUAAGAAAAUAUCUAUUAUAAAGAAUACUCUAUAAUAUAAAUGCCUGCAGAGUAUAAUACCUGUCACUCUCUGAAAAGGAAUGCAAAGGAGUAAUGAAGGAAAAAUAAUUAUUAGUACGAUAGGAUUUCCAUGAAUAAUUUAUGAGAACCUAGACAAGGAGUAAACAAUAGAUAUCACCCAUUUUGAGUCCUAUAGACUUUUUCCAUAUUUGCAGAAGAUAUUGCUUGUAUUUUUUUCAUUUCUAAAAGGAAAGUGUUUUGCUUUUAUUUCUGACUAUAUAUUAUCAUUGUAGAAAGCAUUCAAUACUAUAGACAAAAAGUAUUUUCUUAUAUGAAGAUCAACCAUAAACCUAUCAUCCAGAUAAAACUACCAUAAAUAGUAUUUUGCCUAUUCAUCAAGAAUUAAUUACAUUAACAUAUAUUUCACAUAUUUAUAAAAGUGAUCACACUGUACAUACAGUUUUAUAGCCUCCUUUUUUUCUCUUAAUAUAUAAUCACUGCUGUCUUUUAAUGUCCAUACAGAUCUUCAUAAUUCUUAAUGGCUAUUGUUGAAACGUACAUUUUAUUUUAUGGAUGUUCCAUAAUUUAUUUGAUCAAUCCCCUGUUGAUUAACAUUUAGGUAGUUUCAACUUUUUUUACUUUGAAUAUUGUAAUACAUCUUUUCACAUUUGACAAGAUUAUUCCUUAAGAAAUGUAAAUGCUCAAUGAGUCUGCAUAAUUUUAAGACUUUCG